UACGUAGGGGGCAAGCGUUGUCCGGAAUCAUUGGGCGUAAAGAGCGUGUAGGCGGUUCAGUAAGUCCGCUGUGAAAGGCAAGGGCUCAACCCUUGAAUGCCGGUGGAUACUGUUGAACUAGAGUCCGGAAGAGGCGAGUGGAAUUCCUGGUGUAGCGGUGAAAUGCGCAGAUAUCAGGAGGAACACCGAUGGCGAAGGCAGCUCGCUGGGACGGUACUGACGCUGAGACGCGAAAGCGCGGGGAGCAAACAGG
Molecule: ribosomal RNA, 253 nt
Filed under: uncultured bacterium
Lineage: Bacteria
Description: partial 16S ribosomal RNA
Rfam family: Bacterial small subunit ribosomal RNA
Source: RNAcentral